Molecule: long non-coding RNA, 1543 nt
Organism: Sander lucioperca (pikeperch)
Lineage: Eukaryota; Metazoa; Chordata; Actinopteri; Perciformes; Percidae
Exons: 3
Source: RefSeq, a predicted model, not a curated record
CCACUAGCAAAGGAGCCGUUUCAUACUGUGCUCCUCUGAGCUGUCUAUGCUUCUCUCUGUUUGUAUACGCUGGGAGCCAGCAUGCACCUGUGUGUUUGAGCCCUCUCUGGUCUCUCUCAUUCUAACUGGUUGUUUAUCAAUGCUGUCAUGCUAGCAGCUCGUGCAGCAAUCAGCAGGAGAGAAGCAGAACUGGACUUGGUGGACUGAAAAUAACAAAAACUCAGAGCAAAAGAAUUCAGUUUGGAGAGUUUCUGCCUCCAUCUUGAGACAAAAGAAUUCUAAGGAACAAACUUGCCAAGCUGGAAUGAAGGACUGACAACAAGAAGACUUGUGUUGAAAAGGGUGGCUGUAUGACCUUUUGUAGUGGAUGGAAAGCAGAAACCAUGUUCCCACUGGUUUCUUGAUUUAUUCUGAAGCAACGGCCUACUCUGGUCCUCAAGCCUGACUCCAUCUUAUUCCAGAGGAUGUCUGACCAUCUGCCCUACUGGUAUGUUGGCGAUUUAUAAUACUUAUAGUUUUCUCUCUUUUAGCUUGGUUCAGUGUUGUUUCUAUUCCGCACCAUAUGAUGCGUACCUGAUGAUUUGUUCACAGUACAUGUUGUUUUGAUGGUGUUCCUGGCUGGUAGAAAGGUCAAAGAAAACACUGUUAUUACACAUUAUGGAAUCAUUUAUUAAAUCGACUGUAUUUAUAACUUACCAAAGUUAUAACUGGCAUUAUAUUUUGUAUUGCACACAGGUGCGAUUUAAUAUGAUUUCACAGUGUCAUUUAGUCUUAUUAUAGAAUAUUUUCCUAGAAAUUUUAGAUUUGUUAUCUGUAGGAGAUUGACGAUUGACUUGGUCUAAGAAUACAAAUGGUCUUGUAAUGGGCCUGAGACAUUUUGUAUAUAUUGUGGUAUUUCAUUAAAUACUAAUAAAAUGGCAUUUUAUACAGCACGCAUUAUUUUUCUGAAUUCAAAUCAAAUAGCUGGCAUUUUGCAUUUUUACACAACAUACAGUAUAUUAUUCUGUCUGACAUUUCAAAAUGUUGACCCCAGAGGAAUGUUAUCAGUAGGUUACACAAACACAAUGUCCAUCUCACAGGCAUGUGCUCUGGCCUUUUCAGUCUACCAUGGUUUAAUUUCAAAGCUACAAGCUACAAAGAUACACAAACAGGAAAUAUGUUUUAUAGCCACAUUGAAAAGGUUAGAUUAAAUAUAAAAACAUGAAAAUACAUUAAAAGGAAUAAUAUUUUAUUUUACUCUCAGUCAAGGAUUUAGUCCUUAAGUAUUAUACAAGUUAAAAUAGAGUGAACUCUUAAAUAUCUAACAUAAAAUGGAAGAUAUCAACAUUUUUACUCUGGGUUUUGAUAAUAAUGUGUUAAUAAUAAUGAUAAUAAUACUAUGUUGUUCAUGGUGGCUCAUUUGCUAGAGCGCCCACUGGGUGGGGUGGUAUGUUGAAUGCGUGAAGUUUACAGGAUGAGCUAGUAGAAUGACUUGCUGUUUCCAUUUUCUGUGGGUUUCGUCUUCCUUAUUUGCUCAUGAAGGGGUAAUGCCAGCUGCCACAAA